This is a long non-coding RNA of Lolium rigidum, 1378 nucleotides long. RefSeq lists it as uncharacterized. Lineage: Eukaryota; Viridiplantae; Streptophyta; Magnoliopsida; Poales; Poaceae. The transcript has 4 exons. The record is from RefSeq and is a predicted model, not a curated record.
CAUGUUUUCGACUUGCAAAGAGAAUGACUGAACGUUUCUAGGUGCACGUUAGGCAUAGUUUCAGUCUUCCAAUUAAAUUUCAAGCGUGGAUUGCUAGGAAUCUACACGAUUCUACAGCUGUGAUUCACUCUUUUUUGUUUCAGGUUUCUGAAAUUUCUCAGAGUGACCAUCUUUCCUGACCCUUAUAACUCGUGUCAUUUGUUAUGCUGUGCAGCAGCUUCUGUUAUAGUUCAUCUACACUCGGUUAAUUGAAAGGAUGAUUGAAUGCAGAUUCAGGAUUUCUAGCUCUGCAGAAUUGUUUACUCAAAGGAACACAACCGUGUUUGCACACAUGCAGGACAAUCCUUGAUUUGAUCCAUAAGGUCUUCUACCGACCGAAUACAAGAGUAUACGGUGGCCUACAGCUUUGAGACAGGAAUAAGAGCUCUAUUUCCUGCAACUUUUUGGUUGUCGAUGUGGGAUCGUAGGUUGAUUCGAGGAUAACGGGCAGGCCGUAGCGGAAUUUACUCAACUGCCAAUUACGGAUCAAUUCAACAACAGUCUGAGACAGAUCAGAUUGCAGCCAUUGUCUGUUAAGCUCCCGAGUGGACCCACUGUACGGGAGCUACCAAGCCUGGCAUUGAAGCAUCAAGACUCGAGAGUCGCGAAUAAGGACACAAAUACCAUCUAUAUUUUACGUUGUGCACUAAAGCCGCGUCAGUUAUUGCACAAACUGACAGGGUGCGACAAGCCAUGCUAUAGAGGUAGAGAGAGCUUCAGAGCUUGAGAGAGAGAGAGAUUGAGAAUUGUUCAAGAACAUGAAUAGAGAGAAUUCAGAAGCAGUUGCUGCACUAGCCAAGAAAAGGUACAUCCCCACAUUAGUUCCAUACUGAUGGCAGUAGAACUACCAAUUCACUUUCCAUUCACUCUCUGCAAAGGAAACAAUGAGCAUAGAAAACCAUUACGAAUUGUUCCCGCCUAAGUAGGUCAUUGGACGCUGCCAGGUCAAAUUUUAGAAUGAACUUCAGGUAAAUAAAAGCAGUUUCCCAACAAGCAUAAAAACACUAAUUCUAGAAUUUCCUCCAUGCAUGAAACACCAAUAUCUCAUCUCCAGCAACAGAUCAAGCUAACCUAAAAGAAACAGAAAAAAAAUGUUCCAACUAAGUAAACUAGCAUAAUUGCUUCAUCGAUAUAGCUAUUUGGUGGGCACCUGCCAUAGGAAAUGCUAUAGUACUGCAUCCAUUGCUUAUGUUGGACAAUUCCCAAUAUAAUUAGCUCUAUUGCAAAUUAUUAGCACCAGCUAACCAUCUUGGCACUUGUGUGUAGAUGUAUCUGCAGUGUCUCUAUUUGUAACAUAGAUUAUUAUUCACGGGUGCGGCGUGUCGCCGCGCCGCAAACU